UUAACUUCAGCUCUCUGGUCCCGCCUCUCAACCGUCAAUCAACGUUUUAUAGUUAGUUUAGUUCAUUAUGCACCCCAUACCCAUCUUGUGCGCGGUAGGGGAAAGGGUUACAGAGGCACAUCUGGUUUACCACUGUGUCCUUGUCUGACACAGUGGUCUGUGGUCUGGCACGUCUGGGCCCAGCGUAUGGAGUAUGCUGCUGUGAAAGGUGAUUUUGUGCCUGCAUCGACCAGUCUCGGCUGCGCCCACCUCCUGAAUGUGCAAAUGUUCAGCAAGUGACAACCAAGUGAUAAAGGAGCGCUGACGACACAAAAACAUUCAAUGAAGAGCAUACAAGAUGGCACAUAGUUCAGCCAUGAAGAUGCUAGCCUCCUGAGGUAGGCGGCACAUGUACGUUUGGUUUGGAAAGACAACAGAGUAUCCGACACCGUCAGCAUACUUAAACCCAUCUGUUUAGAGAGCGACAGAAUGCAAGUGCUAAGAAAAAUGUUCAAGGAAAAGGCAUUUCAGAACAACAGAAGGGGUAGGAGCCUUUACCACAUGGGGCCAAAGCCUUGCUAAGCUUCACAAGUGGGACCCACCUAGGAGGUAGUGAUGGUUCAACCUACUGCACAUAACAAAAACAGGGAAUUACUCCAGGAAUAAGCCUUUAUGGCACAAGUGAUGUAGAAUAUGAUAAAACACAUUGAAAUGGGGUUGUUAGGAUACCAUUGUGAUGCCGCUAGAAAUGGGGUUCCUUGGAGACAACUGUUAUGCCCCGGCAACAUAAUUUUAAGUCCCCGAGAGUAUCAUGAAAUAUUCUGUACUCAGAUACCUUUCAAAAACUAUUUCAAAAAGAAACAAAAUAUCAUAAAUCUUUCUGGGAGUUCACAAAACAUCAAUCUAUGUAUAGCUUUGUUCCUAAAAUCAGUAGCUUUUUUUUUUUUUUUGUUAUUCUGCA
Procambarus clarkii (red swamp crayfish) is the source of this 940-nucleotide long non-coding RNA. RefSeq lists it as uncharacterized. The record is from RefSeq and is a predicted model, not a curated record. Lineage: Eukaryota; Metazoa; Arthropoda; Malacostraca; Decapoda; Cambaridae.